UACGUAGUGGGCAAGCGUUGUCCGGAAUCAUUGGGCGUAAAGAGCGUGUAGGCGGCCUGAUAAGUCGGCUGUGAAAGUCAAGGGCUCAACCCUUGAAUGCCGGCCGAUACUGUCAGGCUAGAAUCCGGAAGAGGCGAGUGGAAUUCCUGGUGUAGCGGUGAAAUGCGCAGAUAUCAGGAGGAACACCGAUGGCGAAGGCAGCUCGCUGGGACGGUAUUGACGCUGAGACGCGAAAGCGUGGGGAGCGAACAGG
RNAcentral lists this ribosomal RNA (253 nucleotides) under uncultured bacterium. RNAcentral's name for it is "partial 16S ribosomal RNA". It matches the Rfam family "Bacterial small subunit ribosomal RNA", at positions 524 to 776 of the family's 1533-position model. The record is from RNAcentral.